Molecule: long non-coding RNA, 1709 nt
Organism: Phacochoerus africanus (Common warthog)
Lineage: Eukaryota; Metazoa; Chordata; Mammalia; Artiodactyla; Suidae
Exons: 5
Source: RefSeq, a predicted model, not a curated record
UUUGCUGAUUCCUGCCCAAGAUGGCUGCAGCCCCAACUGAUGUCAUGAGAAGCAGAAGAACUGCCCUGAUGAAUCCAGUCAACCUACAUGUUAAAGAAAAGAAAAACAGGCAGCAAAUGAUUAGGAAGUUCGUGAAGGAAAUGGAAAGUAUUUGCUGUGGACUUGCCUUCAUAAGUACAGACACGCAGUUCAACUGAAGAGGCUGUUCUAAGAAAGAUGACUGAGAUCGGCAAAGGUGUCAAUGAUGACCCCGAAAAUCAGAUUAAGGACGAUGAUGAUGACCAUGAAGAAGAACAGGAGGUCAUAGAUGACUCGAGCAGCAAAGAGGGGCUCCUGGAAAAGAGGCAGCUUGCAGGGACCAACUCUGCAAACACGGCAAGGAAUGACAGAUUGGAAACAUGAGUGAGGAGACUCUGGUUCCUGCGAGCCAUCUCCCCAGCUGACAGGAGCCAGAAAGAAUAAAAUGACGGAAUCCAGUAAAAAAAAAAAGCCUUUCUUUUUCAUUGCUGUUUGCAUCACUAAACCCUGCUAAUUUCACAAGCCCAGAAGUGUCCUUCCCCCUGUUACAUCUAAAAUAGUCCCUAUCCUUUACAGAUUUUAACCUCCAGCCCCAGUUCUGCACAGGCAAUUGACCCGCGAUAAGUUGCUUAAUAAUCUGAGUCAUAAGCAUCUCUGCUCUCAACCGAGGGAAAUGCCACAGCACUCAGGUUCCUUCCUGGGGAUGCUGUAAGCACUUAACCCAGCCGCAUUUUAUUGACAGUUGGUCCUCUGGAUAAAUCACUUCAAACUGGGGACUGCCUAUUCUUCUCAGCUUCUGGAGCAGGAAUUUUCUGCCCACCUUAUUCUUUUCUCCAGCUGCAGUGAGAAUGGUCUUGCUAAAACACAUCAUGUCAUGGUAUCAUUCCCCUUUCAACAACUGUCAUCAUCCUUGGGGUAAACUUUAACCCCCCUAGCCUGACCCUUCAUGAUCUGACCCCUGACAACCUCUCUGGAUUCAGUUCUCGCUACACUUUCUCCUCAUGAUCAAUUUCUCCCCAAAUCCAUUGUAUUCCACCUCUGAGACUUUAGGCAUGCUGUUCCCUCCAACUGGAAUAUGUAUACCUCCUUCUUUGCCCAUGAUGCUACUGUUUGUGUUUAGCUAACACUCCUGGGUGAUACUUUUACUCCUGCAUUAGGUUGGAUGCCUAUUUUUUGUUUGCACUUACCAUCCUCUCUCAUAAUCCCCCUGCCUGCUUGCCUCCUCUCUACUGUAUUAUUAUAUCUUGGAGUAUAACACAGUUGCUGGCAAAGAGUGGGCACUCAGUAAAUACAGGCUGAAUCAACUAAGCAGCUGUUUUCUUCCCAUAUAGCCUUCUUUUCCUGUCAUCUCCUUCCUCUCUCCCAGCCUUUCCUCUUUGCUACUGGCCUUACUUCUGAGCAGUGAAUCUGCUUUCAUCUGCUUCUAGUGUCAUGUGCACCAUCUAAGCCUCUGGGGGAGCCUGGCACUAACACAGGGCUUAAGGCUGUGAGGUCCUACCUUCUUUGGGUGCAGGAGAGGAGCAGUUUUCCCCAGUCUCCACCCUACACACGUCAGAGUACAGGAACUCACUUGCCAAACUCUCGCUGGCUUCUGGGAGAGAGAAGGAAAUUUUAUGAUGAACAAUCUGGCAGCAUAUGGUUAAAAUGUUUGAAGUCCCCAAUUCACGGCUGAUUAAACAAUUCUUUACAUA